This is a long non-coding RNA of Caretta caretta (loggerhead turtle), 590 nucleotides long. RefSeq lists it as uncharacterized. The record is from RefSeq and is a predicted model, not a curated record. NCBI's taxonomy places the organism in Eukaryota, Metazoa, Chordata, Testudines, Cheloniidae.
AACAGAACAAGGGAAGCUGACGUGCAGUAGUCAUCCCUUGUGCCAUUGCUGGGGAGGGCAGAACGGCUGGGUUCUCCACACCUACUGGAGGCUUGCUGAGGGAGGCCCUGGUUCUAAAUGUGGCCGUGCUGAUUGUCCUUAACCCUGCAUCUUGCUGGCGACUGAGGAGUUUGUGAGGAUCCCAGGCCGUUGCUGAUGGCAAGCCUAAGCGAAUGCCAGUGCAAGGUGGGGGUUGUGGUGUUCUCAGGACACGGAGCAUCUGUCUGCAAUGUAGUCCUGAUUUACAGUGAUGGAAGUGAAAGGAGAUUCAGGCUCACAGUGCAAGUGAGAAUCCUCUGUGUUAUUCCAUGGGGUUUGUGCCUCUUGUUGAAACAGCCAUGGGGUCUGCAGAAGACCUGGGCAAUCAAAGCUUAUAGAAGGUAAGGUAAAGAGAUGACUUGAUUGUGCUCUAAAAGUACCUAUGCAGGGAGAAGAUUUGGGGAGGGGCUUUUUGAUCUAGCAGACAAGGGCAUAACAUGAUUCAAUGGCUGGAGGUUCAAGCUAGACAAAUUUGGAGUGGAAAUAAGGUGCAAAAUGUUAACAGUGAGAGU